CCUACGGGAGGCUGCAGUGAGGAAUAUUGGUCAAUGGCCGGAAGGCUGAACCAGCCAAGCCGCGUGAGGGAAGAAGGCGCUUCGCGUCGCAGACCUCUUUUGCCGGGGGACAAAAGGCCGAACUCGUCCGGUCCUGAGGGUACCCGGAGAAAAAGCAUCCGCUAACUCCGUACCAGCAGCCGCGGUAAUACGGGGGAUGCGAGCGUUAUCCGGAUUCAUUGGGUUUAAAGGGUGCGCAGGGGGGCCGUUAAGCCGGUGGUGAAAUCGCGGGGCUCAACCCCGCCGAGCCGUUGGAACUGGGGGCCUUGAGUGCGGGGGAGGCAUGCGGAAUGCGCGGUGUAGCGGUGAAAUGCAUAGAUAUCGCGCAGAACCCCGAUUGCGAAGGCAGCGUGCCGGGCCGCCACUGACGCUGAGGCACGAAAGCGAGGGGAUCGAACAGGAUUAGAUACCCGAGUAGUC
This 459-nucleotide ribosomal RNA is filed under the name uncultured bacterium. RNAcentral's name for it is "partial 16S ribosomal RNA". It matches the Rfam family "Bacterial small subunit ribosomal RNA", at positions 338 to 795 of the family's 1533-position model. The record is from RNAcentral.